This 400-nucleotide ribosomal RNA is filed under the name uncultured bacterium. Its description in RNAcentral is "bacterial SSU rRNA". It matches the Rfam family "Bacterial small subunit ribosomal RNA", at positions 356 to 773 of the family's 1533-position model. The record is from RNAcentral.
GGGGAAUAUUGGACAAUGGGCGCAAGCCUGAUCCAGCAAUGCCGCGUGAGUGAUGAAGGCCUUAGGGUUGUAAAGCUCUUUCGCACGCGACGAUGAUGACGGUAGCGUGAGAAGAAGCCCCGGCUAACUUCGUGCCAGCAGCCGCGGUAAUACGAAGGGGGCUAGCGUUGUUCGGAAUUACUGGGCGUAAAGGGCGCGUAGGCGGCCUUGUUAGUCAGAAGUGAAAGCCCCGGGCUCAACCUGGGAACUGCUUUUGAUACUGCAAGGCUAGAGUUUCGGAGAGGAUGGUGGAAUUCCCAGUGUAGAGGUGAAAUUCGUAGAUAUUGGGAAGAACACCGGUGGCGAAGGCGGCCAUCUGGACGAACACUGACGCUGAGGCGCGAAAGCGUGGGGAGCAAAC